RNAcentral lists this ribosomal RNA (253 nucleotides) under uncultured bacterium. RNAcentral describes it as "partial 16S ribosomal RNA". It matches the Rfam family "Bacterial small subunit ribosomal RNA", at positions 524 to 776 of the family's 1533-position model. The record is from RNAcentral.
UACAGAGGUCUCAAGCGUUGUUCGGAUUCAUUGGGCGUAAAGGGCGUGUAGGUGGCGCGCUAAGUCGGGUGUGAAAGUUCGGAGCUCAACUCCGGAACUGCAUUCGAUACUGGCGUGCUUGAGGACUGGAGAGGAGACUGGAAUUCCUGGUGUAGCAGUGAAAUGCGCAGAGAUCAUGAGGAAGACCAGUGGCGAAGGCGGGUCUCUGGACAGUUCCUGACACUGAGACGCGAAGGCCAGGGGAGCAAACGGG